Molecule: ribosomal RNA, 473 nt
Filed under: uncultured bacterium
Lineage: Bacteria
Description: bacterial SSU rRNA
Rfam family: Bacterial small subunit ribosomal RNA
Source: RNAcentral
CAGGACGAACGCUGGCGGCGUGCUUCAUACAUGCAAGUCGAACGAGAAGCUGACUUCGGUCAGUGGAAAGUGGCGGACGGGUGAGUAAUGUGUAGAGAAUCUGCCCUAGAGAGAGGGACAACAGUUGGAAACGACUGCUAAUACCUCAUAUGCGCGUAGCUGAGAUGCUAUUCGUGAAAACUCCGGUGCUCUGGGAUGAGUCUGCAUCUGAUUAGCUAGUUGGCGGUGUAAUGGACCACCAAGGCGACGAUCAGUAGCUGGUUUGAGAGGAUGAUCAGCCACAAUGGGACUGAGACACGGCCCAUACUCCUACGGGAGGCAGCAGUAGGGAAUUUUGCGCAAUGGGGGAAACCCUGACGCAAGCAACGCCGCGUGAUUGAAUAAGCCCUUCGGGGUGUAAAGAUCUGUCAGUAGGGACGAAACUUGACGGUACCUACAGAGGAAGCAUCGGCUAACUCCGUGCCAGCCGCUGC